RNAcentral lists this ribosomal RNA (252 nucleotides) under uncultured bacterium. RNAcentral describes it as "partial 16S ribosomal RNA". It matches the Rfam family "Bacterial small subunit ribosomal RNA", at positions 524 to 776 of the family's 1533-position model. The record is from RNAcentral.
GACGUAGGGCGCGAGCGUUGUCCGGAUUUAUUGGGCGUAAAGAGCUCGUAGGCGGCUUGUCGCGUCGUUCGUGAAAACUUGGGGCUCAACCCCAAGCUUGCGGUCGAUACGGGCAGGCUAGAGUUCGGUAGGGGAGACUGGAAUUCCUGGUGUAGCGGUGAAAUGCGCAGAUAUCAGGAGGAACACCGGUGGCGAAGGCGGGUCUCUGGGCCGAUACUGACGCUGAGGAGCGAAAGCGUGGGAGCGAACAGG